This 86-nucleotide transfer RNA is filed under the name Blumeria hordei DH14. RNAcentral's name for it is "tRNA-Phe for anticodon GAA". It matches the Rfam family "tRNA". From Rfam's summary of the family: Transfer RNA (tRNA) molecules are approximately 80 nucleotides in length. Their secondary structure includes four short double-helical elements and three loops (D, anti-codon, and T loops). The record is from RNAcentral. Lineage: Eukaryota; Fungi; Ascomycota; Leotiomycetes; Helotiales; Erysiphaceae.
GCGGCUUUAGCUCACUUGGGAGAGCGUCAGACUGAAGUCUCAACGUGGCUAUCUGAAGGCACUGUGUUCGAUCCACAGAAGCCGCA